This is a non-coding RNA of Misgurnus anguillicaudatus (oriental weatherfish), 759 nucleotides long. The record is from RefSeq and is a predicted model, not a curated record. Lineage: Eukaryota; Metazoa; Chordata; Actinopteri; Cypriniformes; Cobitidae.
UUGUUUUCUUUUCUCAGGCCCGGUCAGUACCCACCACCCUUCCCUGUUCACCCACACUUUAUACUUUUUCUUAGAAAACCAACGGCUCUUUUAAGAGCCACUUCAAUAAUCAACUCACUCACUCUCCUCAAAAAUGCCAGGCCAGGGGUCAACAACUAGAAAGUGUGUGGUCUUCCAUACACAACUAAAUGUAGCUUGCAAAACCUGCAACACAUACAAGGUAGAGCAGCCACAUAAGCUUCGGGUAAAAAAGAACUGAAGAAAUUUGAUCAGAAGCGGGAGAGCUGGGUGCAUGAUGAAGAUAUGCUGGCCUGGAAGAAAACCAAAUGCUUGGGGGUCUGAGGUUCUGACACCCCGUUGUCACUUGACUGAGACAUCCAUUACAUGCUUGGAAAGAUUAAAGAACCUAUUCAAGGCGGGACCUCACAAGGUGUUGCAGAACAAGUCAAUAAAACCUCAUCAGCCCGAGUUGAAUCCAAAUGGACCAACCUGAUCUCCAGGUACCAGUGGCCCUGCCUCAUACCAGAGCAGCUCCAACUGGACCACCAGCAGCCCUUAUUGCACCACCAAAGUCCCCAAUUUGACAGCCAGUAUCCCUUUUAGGACCCUCAGGACACCAUGCAACCCCACUGCAGCAAUCUGGGAAAAGAAACCCAUUACCCAGAUGGACCCCCAAGAGCCUCCCCAGUUUCUCUUGGAAAAGAUGGUGUGAAAGAAGGCUUUCCAGCUCUGACUACAGUGCAGCCAGAUCAAAGGAAA